Molecule: long non-coding RNA, 874 nt
Organism: Alosa sapidissima (American shad)
Lineage: Eukaryota; Metazoa; Chordata; Actinopteri; Clupeiformes; Clupeidae
Exons: 2
Source: RefSeq, a predicted model, not a curated record
UCAAAACAAACAAGAUGUUUUCCAUCUUCUUUUAAACAAUUAUCUUCAGGUUAACCAUUUUAAAUAAACAACAAACAUACACAAUUAACUCUGAAUGUUAAUUAAAACAACAAUUUUAACCACACCUUGCUGAAGAGGUCUAGGUGCAUCACAUUUCCUUAAAUAAAACAUGUAAAACAUAAAACAAACAAACUAACUAAAAGGACCUAAAGAUGGUGAAGACCUCUGGGAAGAGAUCCCCAUCAGGUCCUCUCUCCUCAGGUCUAGUCGUCUGGUUGGCUGCGCUGGCCAAAGGGCAGGCCGGUCUAGUUGCGGUCGGGAUCGUUCAGGCGCAGGAUGCGAAUCAGGUUGCUGACAGGCAGGGAACUGUGAGACGGGUGAGAGGUGGACAGUCAGGUGGGCAGCAGCACAGGUGGACGUGGGAUUAUUAUACAGGUACAGAAAAUAAAACAUUUAAACGCAGACGCGUACAAGUCUCAGCUCUAAAUGUAAGACAAAGCAAAGAUGGGAAAUGUAAUUGAUGAGAAGGGGUCAGUCAGGUGGACAUGGAAUUAGACAGACGCUGAUGUAGCAGGUGGGGAAGCACAAUCAGUGACCUUUCUAUCUUGUAUAGCAACUCAUUUGUGUCUUUUAAUCAUGUUUGUUAUGUCUUAAUUAUUACUGUAUUAACAUGUUUAAAACUAUUGCCCUUUUACUAUUAUCUUGUGUGUUUUAGGUUUUCUUUUUUAUUAUGAUCUUUAGUUUUUAAACUAUUCUUUGACUAUAGCCUUUCUAUACUUUUAAUUGCUAAUAUUUUUUUCUUUUUGUUUAUGCAAAGCAUAUUGAAUGACUUCUGUGUAUAAAAUGCGGUAUAUAAAUAAACUUGACUUGACUA